RNAcentral lists this ribosomal RNA (576 nucleotides) under uncultured bacterium. RNAcentral describes it as "partial 16S ribosomal RNA". It matches the Rfam family "Bacterial small subunit ribosomal RNA", at positions 355 to 924 of the family's 1533-position model. The record is from RNAcentral.
UGGGGAAUUUUGGACAAUGGGGGAAACCCUGAUCCAGCCAUCCCGCGUGUGCGAUGAAGGCCUUCGGGUUGUAAAGCACUUUUGGCAGGAAAGAAACGUCGCGGGUUAAUACCCCGCGAAACUGACGGUACCUGCAGAAUAAGCACCGGCUAACUACGUGCCAGCAGCCGCGGUAAUACGUAGGGUGCAAGCGUUAAUCGGAAUUACUGGGCGUAAAGCGUGCGCAGGCGGUUCGGAAAGAAAGAUGUGAAAUCCCAGAGCUUAACUUUGGAACUGCAUUUUUAACUACCGGGCUAGAGUGUGUCAGAGGGAGGUGGAAUUCCGCGUGUAGCAGUGAAAUGCGUAGAUAUGCGGAGGAACACCGAUGGCGAAGGCAGCCUCCUGGGAUAACACUGACGCUCAUGCACGAAAGCGUGGGGAGCAAACAGGAUUAGAUACCCUGGUAGUCCACGCCCUAAACGAUGUCAACUAGCUGUUGGGGCCUUCGGGCCUUGGUAGCGCAGCUAACGCGUGAAGUUGGCCGCCUGGGGAGUACGGUCGCAAGAUUAAAACUUAAAGGAAUUGACGGGGUCAUAG